UCUUUCUUCACAUCCCUGAGUUAAGUUGUUCUUUAUCAGGGAGUUUUUAUGCUUUUUUUUGUUAAGAAUAAAGAAAUUUAAAAACAUGUCUGUUGGUGGUGGUCUGUCAUUUGCAUCUUUGUUAAUUUCAACUUGAAAUCUACUUUGUGGAUUGAAAGAAUUCAAAUUCAACUGUGAAAUCUGUAGUUAUAAAUAUAGUAAAAAGCUGUUUAGGUUUCUGCAUCCACUGGUUUAAAGUAGAUGGUUUUGUAUUCUUACUGCUGGUUGUCAUCUAAGCAAAUAGCAGAAACUUUUAUGAAAUAAAUAUUUUGUCAGGUUUCCACAUAAGAAAGAAAUGAAUUGAAAAAAAGAUUUAUAUAUGUGUCACAAAAUAGAUUUUUCUUCUUGCAAAUGAUUGACACUGCUUCCCGGGCCCUUAAAAAAGCUGCCCAAUGCUCACCAUGGUGAUGGGUUAAAAGCAGAGGCUCAGUUUCGUUGUAUCCCCCUGUUACAAUGACAAUAAAGUCCAUAAAAAUAAAUAAAUAAUACUUUUGACAGCUGUCUCGCGUGUGUUUUUUUUUUCACGAGAUUUGGGGCUUUACGGGUUUCUUAUGUCAAAUAUGUAUAUAAUCACAUCCUCGCGAGAUCGCGAGAAUGACGCGAGUCCAGCUUUCGCGGGCAAUGGGUGACCAAAUGUAAUUCAAACGGUUGUCUCGUAAAGAUAAAAGUUUUAGGUCAACUUUUCGUAUUGCUAUGAUUCAGGACACGUCCCUUAAGCAGUUACGUUUGUGGAUAAAUUUACUAUCUGAUUUUGUCACCGUAAAUGAUAGAGGGAAUCUUCUGUAUGCUAAAUGGGACCAUCUCUGUCUCACUGGCUUUGCUUGUCUUCUGUUGCCUCCUGGAAUUAAAGGAAGGCCAUAUGCCAAUUCCAAGGACCAAUAGCUCCUGAGAUGUUAACGGCCAUGUUGCUCUGCAAGGAUGUUCUUGUAAAUGUUGGAGGUGAAGACAGAAGCUGCAGAAAUCAACACAGAGUCAGCUGAUGACAUCACAGCAGCAGCCACACACCCAAUACCAAUAAUGGAGAUAUAGGAAGGUGUGAGGUGCUGCAAUGUGAGGGGCAGGAUCAGGGCUGCCUCACCACGUUCGUAUGGAGACGGAGAACCAUAUGAAGUGAGAUUCCAAUCUGAGCAAAAGAAGAUGGAGUGAACCAAUCCAAGGAGCCUUUAAGGUGUUCAACAGUGUGGCCAAUGUCUCAGAAGCUGGGGUUCAUCAAAACAAAGGGAACUGAGAGCCACUACACAAUUCAGAACCAGGGAAAGUGUAAGGUGUUGUUCUUCAGUGUCUGGCUAAUGUCCACGGUGCUGGGGUUCAUCAACACAAAGGGAACACAGAGCCACUGCAGAGACAGACGAUAAGGGAAAGUGUAAGGUGUUGUUCUUCAGUGUCUGGCUAAUGUCCACGGUGCUGGGGUUCAUCAACACAAAGGGAACACAGAGCCACUGCAGAGACAGACGAUAAGAAUCUUGGACUGGACUCAGCUGUUGUGGUGAAAGCUGGAUUUUAACCUUGAACACGUCACACCUCUCAGGAAGCAGGUCUUUGUUG
This is a long non-coding RNA of Cynoglossus semilaevis (tongue sole), 1584 nucleotides long. RefSeq lists it as uncharacterized. The transcript has 7 exons. The record is from RefSeq and is a predicted model, not a curated record. Lineage: Eukaryota; Metazoa; Chordata; Actinopteri; Pleuronectiformes; Cynoglossidae.